GACGAACGCUGACGGCGUGCUUACCACCUGCAAGUCGAAGGGAGUGGCGAACGGGUGAGUAACACGUGAGUAAACUGCCCUUUUCUUUGGGAUAAGCCUGGGAAAAUGGGUCUAAUACUGGAUGGAUUGGGAUGGGCUCGCGGCUUAUCAGCGUGUUGGUGGGGUGAUGGCUUACCAAGGCUUUGACGGGUAGCCGGCCUUAGAGGGGGGUCUGGCAUACUGGGACUGAGGUACGGCCCAGACUCCUACGUGAGGAAGCAGUGGGUGAUAUUGCACCAUGGACGAAAGUCUGAUGCAGCGACGUCGUGUGGGGGAUGAAGGCCUUCGGGUUGUAAACUCCUUUCGCCCGCUGAAUGUUAGUGGGUAAAGAAGCGCCGGCUAACUACGUGCCAGCCGCCGCGGUAAUAC
Molecule: ribosomal RNA, 408 nt
Filed under: uncultured bacterium
Lineage: Bacteria
Description: partial 16S ribosomal RNA
Rfam family: Bacterial small subunit ribosomal RNA
Source: RNAcentral